GGGCUUGACAUCCCACGAACCUGACGGUAAAACGUCCUUCUCUUCGGAGCAGUGGAGACAGGUGGUGCAUGGUUGUCGUCAGCUCGUGUCGUGAGAUGUUGGGUUAAGUCCCGCAACGAGCGCAACCCUUGUCAUUAGUUGCCAGCAGGUGAAGCUGGGGACUCUGGCAGGACCGCCCGCGUCAAGCUGGAGGAAGGCG
Molecule: ribosomal RNA, 199 nt
Filed under: uncultured Methylomirabilota bacterium
Lineage: Bacteria; Methylomirabilota (SeqCode)
Description: uncultured candidate division NC10 bacterium partial 16S ribosomal RNA
Rfam family: Bacterial small subunit ribosomal RNA
Source: RNAcentral